RNAcentral lists this unclassified non-coding RNA (214 nucleotides) under Hevea brasiliensis (rubber tree). The record is from RNAcentral. Lineage: Eukaryota; Viridiplantae; Streptophyta; Magnoliopsida; Malpighiales; Euphorbiaceae.
AUUGGCCAUGUAUCAUAGUAAACAUAAUAGUUGCAGUAUUUUGACAAUCGGACAAACUUUCAAUCGGUGGUCAUAAUUCCAUUCCACCUUUUUUCCACAUAAUAUAUUUGUCAUUCACUUUAUCAACAUUCAAAAAGCUAGAAAAUUUAAUUGUUGAAGAUAAGAAAAUAGCAUCACUAAAUAAGGUAAAUGUCAAAACUUUCAAAAACUUUGA